ACGGGUGAGUAACGCGUGGGUAACCUACCCUGUACACACGGAUAACAUACCGAAAGGUAUGCUAAUACGGGAUAAUAUAUGUGAGAGGCAUCUCUUAAAUAUCAAAGGUGAGCCAGUACAGGAUGGACCCGCGUCUGAUUAGCUAGUUGGUAAGGUAACGGCUUACCAAGGCGACGAUCAGUAGCCGACCUGAGAGGGUGAUCGGCCACAUUGGAACUGAGACACGGUCCAAACUCCUACGGGAGGCAGCAGUGGGGAAUAUUGCACAAUGGGCGAAAGCCUGAUGCAGCAACGCCGCGUGAGUGAUGAAGGCCUUCGGGUCGUAAAACUCUGUCCUCAAGGAAGAUAAUGACGGUACUUGAGGAGGAAGCCCCGGCUAACUACGUGCCAGCAGCCGCGGUAAUACGUAGGGGGCUAGCGUUAUCCGGAUUUACUGGGCGUAAAGGGUGCGUAGGCGGUCUUUCAAGUCAGGAGUGAAAGGCUACGGCUCAACCGUAGUAAGCUCUUGAAACUGGGAGACUUGAGUGCAGGAGAGGAGAGUGGAAUUCCUAGUGUAGCGGUGAAAUGCGUAGAUAUUAGGAGGAACACCAGUUGCGAAGGCGGCUCUCUGGACUGUAACUGACGCUGAGGCACGAAAGCGUGGGGAGCAAACAGGAUUAGAUACCCUGGUAGUCCACGCUGUAAA
Molecule: ribosomal RNA, 685 nt
Filed under: uncultured bacterium
Lineage: Bacteria
Description: bacterial SSU rRNA
Rfam family: Bacterial small subunit ribosomal RNA
Source: RNAcentral